AUGGACUCCUUCUGCUUCAAUAUGGUGCAGAUCGUAGAAGUGCUACGCUCGUACUGCUUCGGCAAGUCGAUUACACGCACACCUUGUGAUAAAAACAAAGGCAGGUUAGAAGCCAAGAGGGCAGCGGUGGCCAGAGUGUCCUCGAGGCGCCGGUUCCCUGCAGCGGCCCUCGGCGGAGCCUGCCUGCAGGCCUGCCGAGGGGCCCAGACAGCUGCUGCCACCACUCCCCGAAUCAAGAAAUUUGCCAUCUACCGAUGGGAUCCAGAAAAAACUGGAGAUAAACCUCGUAUGCAAACUUAUGAAAUCGAUUUGAAUAAAUGUGGUCCUAUGGUGUUGGAUGCUUUAAUCAAGAUUAAGAAUGAAAUGGAUUCUACCUUGACCUUCCGAAGAUCUUGCAGGGAAGGGAUCUGUGGCUCCUGUGCAAUGAACAUCAAUGGAGGCAACACUCUAGCUUGCACCCGGAGGAUUGACACCAACCUCAACAAAGUCUCAAAAAUCUACCCUCUUCCACAUAUGUAUGUGAUAAAGGAUCUGGUUCCUGAUUUGAGCCACUUCUAUGCUCAAUACAAAUCCAUUGAGCCUUAUUUGAAGAAGAAGGAUGAAUCCCAGGAAGGCAAACAGCAGUAUCUGCAGUCCAUAGAAGAUCGAGAUAAACUGGAUGGGCUGUACGAGUGCAUCCUCUGUGCCUGCUGCAGCACCAGCUGCCCCAGCUACUGGUGGAAUGGAGACAGAUACUUGGGACCUGCGGUGCUCAUGCAGGCCUAUCGCUGGAUGAUCGACUCCAGAGAGGAGUUCACGGAGGAGCGCCUGGCCAAGCUACAGAACCCCUUCUCUCUCUACCGCUGCCGCACCGUCAUGAACUGCACAAGGACCUGUCCCAAGGGGCUGAAUCCAGGGAAAGCGAUUGCUGAAAUCAAGAAAAUGAUGGUAACCUACAAGAAAAAGAAAGCUUCCGCUUAACUCUUCUCAUGCUAACCAUGACCUGUAACCAGCUCAGCUGGACAUAAUUUAUAUCUGAUUUGAGUUUCCACGAUUACAGCAUGUAAAAUAAAGUUUUAA
Molecule: RNA transcript, 1059 nt
Organism: Myotis lucifugus (little brown bat)
Lineage: Eukaryota; Metazoa; Chordata; Mammalia; Chiroptera; Vespertilionidae
Gene name: succinate dehydrogenase [ubiquinone] iron-sulfur subunit, mitochondrial pseudogene
Exons: 2
Source: RefSeq, a predicted model, not a curated record